Molecule: long non-coding RNA, 642 nt
Organism: Lolium rigidum
Lineage: Eukaryota; Viridiplantae; Streptophyta; Magnoliopsida; Poales; Poaceae
Exons: 3
Source: RefSeq, a predicted model, not a curated record
AGAUUGAAGUGAUUAUUUUUUGCUUCGAUAAGUUCUUCUUGCUGAAGCGAACAAAGCUUCAUCAAUGCCCAUGAACUAGGAGCUGAUUGGCUUCUAAAGAGGCAUCAAACAUUAAAAACAAUACAAUUUUCCCUUUGCCUGUCGAGAUUUUAAUGCCUGCUAUGCAAUCUGCACAUAAUGUAUGGUUAAGAAACUUAAUUGAUCUGAUUUUGUUCCUCUUGAUGGCCUUUUCAAAGUAUAACUUGUCCUGUCAGGAGACAAAUCCUUAACACAUGAAUUGUUUAAAAGGUAUUAUAAGACACCAAAUUUCGAGCAAAAUCGAGAUGUUAGACUUGAAGAUGUCGAUACUGCAUCCAGUGGGUGUCUUUUUUCCUAUUGCGAUUGAACUACAUCAUGGUACCCCAACAUUAUUCUGUUAUUGAUGUCUUCGUCCAGAUUUUGGGUGUUUCUAAGCUGGGCCAUGUUUGCAUGCUGACUAACACAUGCGACACUGCUAAGAGAGUUACCGCUCUUAGAGAUGACAGUUUCAAUGCACAUGAUAUAUGUGGACAAAUGGACUGGCAUGGUAUGUAACAACUGCCUAUUUUCUGUGGCUGGAGAAUACAAAUACAGUAAUAAUUAUUUUGCUCUGAUCACUUAGUC